UACGUAGGGGGCAAGCGUUGUCCGGAAUCAUUGGGCGUAAAGAGCUCGUAGGCGGCUCAGUAAGUCGGGUGUGAAACCCCCAGGCUCAACCUGGGGACGCCACCCGAUACUGCUGUGGCUAGAGUCCAGUAGGGGAGUGUGGAAUUCCCGGUGUAGCGGUGAAAUGCGCAGAUAUCGGGAGGAACACCAGCGGCGAAGGCGGCACUCUGGGCUGGUACUGACGCUGAGGAGCGAAAGCGUGGGUAGCAAACAGG
Molecule: ribosomal RNA, 254 nt
Filed under: uncultured bacterium
Lineage: Bacteria
Description: partial 16S ribosomal RNA
Rfam family: Bacterial small subunit ribosomal RNA
Source: RNAcentral